AGCUCAGUUGGUAGUAGCACAUGACUGUUAAUCAAUGGGUCACUGGUUCGAGCCCAGUACGGG
RNAcentral lists this transfer RNA (63 nucleotides) under Streptococcus agalactiae. RNAcentral's name for it is "tRNA-Asn". Lineage: Bacteria; Bacillati; Bacillota; Bacilli; Lactobacillales; Streptococcaceae. The record is from RNAcentral.